This 2016-nucleotide long non-coding RNA is filed under the name Sus scrofa (pig). RNAcentral describes it as "lncRNA (ENSSSCG00005000466.1)". Lineage: Eukaryota; Metazoa; Chordata; Mammalia; Artiodactyla; Suidae. The record is from RNAcentral.
UUUUUUUUUUUUUUUUGGCUGCUCCUGUGGCAUAGGGAAGUUUCCUUUCACUUAGUGUAAUAUUUCCUGUUCCAUCCACGUUGUGACACACAUCAGUACCCUCUUCUUUUUCAUGGCUGAUAAGAUUCUGUUGUAUGUAUAUACCAUGUUUUAUUUUUCCAUUAUGGGACAUUUGUACUGUUUCUGCCUUUUGGCUAUCAGUAUAAUGCUGUUAUGAAUCUUCAUGGACAAGUUUUUUUUUUUUCCAUCUUUUUAGGGCCUCACCAUCUGAGGCAUAUGGAAGUUCCUAGGCUAGGGGUCAAAUCAGAUCUACAGCUGCCGGCCUACACCACAGCUCAUGGCAACACUGGAUCCUUAGCCCAGUGAGCAAGGUCAGAGAUCAAACCCGCAUCCUCAUGGAUACUUUCUGCUGAGCCACAGUGGGAACUCCAUGGACAAGAUUUUGUGUGGACAUACAUUUUCAUUUUUCUUAGGUGGAUACCUAGGAGUGGAUUGCAGGGUCAAAUGGUAACUCUGUGUUUAACUUUUUUGAGGAACUGUCAGAGUGUUUUCUAAAGUGGUUAUACCAUUUUACAUUUCUUCCAGGAUUAUAUGAAGGUCCCUAUUUCUCUAGAUCAUCCUUGUCACUGCUUGUUAUUAUCUAACUUUAAUGAUAGCUAUUCUAGGAGUAUAAGGUGAUACUUCGCUGUAGUUUUUGAUUUGCAUUUCCUUGAUGACAUGAUGUUGAGCUUUUCAUACUUUUUGGCCAUUUGCAGCUCUUCUUGGAAAAUGGGCUGUUCAAGUUUUUUGUCCAUUAAAAAUUUUGCUUGUUUGUCUUUAUAUUGUUGAGUUGUAAGGGUUUCUUUAUAUAUUGUGGAUCCGAGUUUUUUUUAUUAGAUAUGAUUUGCAAAUAUUUUCCCCCAGUCUCUGGUCUUCCUGAUUUUUUUUUCUUGCUUUCCUGAUGUUGUCUUUUUUUUUUUGUCUGGGAGCCUCCAUAUGGUGCGAGUGUAGCCCUGGAAAAGACAAAAAAAAAAAAGGGGGGGGGGAAUAUAAAUGAAAUCUCCCUCUUAGUCUGACACAAAAUAUAGCAUACUAUUCACCUCUUUUGUACUUUGAUUUUUUUUCCUCCUUAGUUAUACCUUUAAGAUGAUUUCAUAUCAGUAUUAGAGAUGGUUCUUAAUUCUUUUACCAGGCAUAGGAUAUUCCACUGCAUAUCUCAUAGUUGAUUUAACCAAUUUCCUUUUGAUGAAUAUUUGGAUUUUUCAGUCUUUUGCUAUUACAAAUAGUGCUAUUAUAGCUUUGAACAGUGAUCUUUCUUUUUCUUCAUUUGAUUGACAUUUCUUUGAGAUGGAAGUAGGGUGCAAACGGCAAAUGCAAAUUUUGCCAAUUCUCUUCUACAGAGAUUGUUCCAUUUUGCAUUGCCAUCAGCCAUGGAAGAGAGUUUCUGUCUCUCCAUAGCCUUAUCUUCAGUGUGGUUUGUUAAGUUUAUAGUUUUUGUUUAUCUGUAUGUGACAAAUGAUAUCUCCCUGUGGCUUAAAAAUUAAAAAAAAAUUAAAUACAAUUAAAAAAAAAUCUUUUCAGGGCCACACUCAUGGCAUAUGGAGGUUCCCAGUCUAAGGGUUGAAUCAGAGCUAUAGGGGCUGGGCUACACCACAGCUCACAGCAAUGCUGGAUCCUUAACCCACUGAGUGAGGCUAAGGAUUGAACCUGCAUCCUCCUGGAUGCUAGUCAGAUUCGUUUCUGAUGAGCUACAAUGGGAACUCCUUGAAUACAAUUUUUAAAGGUUACUUUCCAUUUAUAGUUACUAUAAUAUUGGCUAUAUUCCCCGUGUUGUAUGAUACUUCCUUGUAUCCUACACCUAAUAGCUGUAUCUCCCACUCUCCCACCCCUGUAAUGUGCUGCCCCCCCAAAAAAACUGAUAACCACUAGUUUGUUCUCUGGAUAUGUGAGUUUGCUUCUUUUAUGUUAUAGUCACUAGUUUGUUGUAUUUUUUUUUUGAAAAAAAAUUUUUUUAUAGUUUGUUGUAUUUUUUAGUUU